CUUGAGCUUAUUUAGUUGGCGGAAGUGCGGCUGCCUGUAAUAUUUGGCUUUCUGUAGUAACUGCAUACCCAGUGUGAUAUUGCCCUUGUUCAUCAGCAACUCUGGAACCAUCCACAAACAGUGUUUGGUCUGGAGUAAGCAGAGCAGUCUCGUGUACAGUUGGUAAAUGGGUAGUUUCCAUCUUCAUCUGUUCAAAGCAAUCAUGAGGGGUUUCUGAGUCAUGUUCCGGGAAGGUAGGUCUUCACAAAUUUCUGUAUGGUAUCUAGG
This is a non-coding RNA of Pelobates cultripes (western spadefoot toad), 267 nucleotides long. Lineage: Eukaryota; Metazoa; Chordata; Amphibia; Anura; Pelobatidae. The record is from the annotation of a GenBank genome assembly.